RNAcentral lists this ribosomal RNA (301 nucleotides) under uncultured bacterium. RNAcentral's name for it is "partial 16S ribosomal RNA". It matches the Rfam family "Bacterial small subunit ribosomal RNA", at positions 509 to 807 of the family's 1533-position model. The record is from RNAcentral.
CAGCAGCCGCGGGAAUACGAAGGGUGCAAGCGUUACUCGGAAUUACUGGGCGUAAAGCGUGCGUAGGCGGAUCUGUAAGUCAGUGGUGAAAUCUCCAGGCUUAACCUGGAAACUGCCGUUGAUACUAUAGGUCUUGAAUUUUGUGGAGGUUAGCGGAAUAUGUCAUGUAGCGGUGAAAUGCAUAGAUAUGACAUAGAACACCAAUUGCGAAGGCAGCUGGCUACACAACUAUUGACGCUGAGGCACGAAAGCGUGGGGAUCAAACAGGAUUAGAUACCCGCGUAGUCCCUGUCUCUUAUAC